RNAcentral lists this ribosomal RNA (508 nucleotides) under uncultured bacterium. RNAcentral describes it as "bacterial SSU rRNA". It matches the Rfam family "Bacterial small subunit ribosomal RNA", at positions 355 to 878 of the family's 1533-position model. The record is from RNAcentral.
UGGGGAAUCUUGGACAAUGGGGGCAACCCUGAUCCAGCCAUGCCGCGUGAGUGAUGAAGGCCUUAGGGUCGUAAAGCUCUUUCGCCUGUGAAGAUAAUGACGGUAGCAGGUAAAGAAACCCCGGCUAACUCCGUGCCAGCAGCCGCGGUAAUACGGAGGGGGUUAGCGUUGUUCGGAAUUACUGGGCGUAAAGCGCACGUAGGCGGACCAGAAAGUUGGGGGUGAAAUCCCGGGGGCUCAACCCCGGAACUGCCUCCAAAACUAUUGGUCUAGAGUUCGAGAGAGGUGAGUGGAAUUCCAAGUGUAGAGGUGAAAUUCGUAGAUAUUUGGAGGAACACCAGUGGCGAAGGCGGCUCACUGGCUCGAUACUGACGCUGAGGUGCGAAAGUGUGGGGAGCAAACAGGAUUAGAUACCCUGGGUAGUCCACACCGUAAAACGAUGAAUGCCAGUCGUCGGGUAGCAUGCUAUUCGGUGACACACCUAACGGAUUAAGCAUUCCGCCUGGGG